GCUGAUAAAUAGUUAGAGGCCUAUCAGCUACGAUGAUUAGAACCUGAAGUUGUCCGAUAAGUGACUAGCUAGCUAGGAUGAAGAAUCGAAUCAAGUGGCAAUCAUCUCGUGGUGCCCAUCUACGUGCACCUCAUCAAGUUAACUUGCAUCGUUAUCAACAGAAGAGAAUAUAAACUCCAAAUAGCGGGAGAAAAACUCGCAUUUCUAAUAAUUAUGGACACACCACGGCAAAUCUUGUUGCAUGUGGUCUCUCUCAAAAGAAAAAAAAAAAUCCUUUUGCCUGCAAUUGUUUCUUCUUUUUUUUUCCAUUUUCAAUGUAAUAGUACUUCAAGCUGGCCAAAUAUAUCGGGUAUCUAAAUUAUCUUGCUUUGCAACACCUUAUGAAUGUUCAAAUGAGUUUUUUCACUGGUAUUGCCUUCGCCGGUUAGUCUCGUCGAACGUUUCUCCAUCAUUCAUACCUGGGCUGCCAGCCUGCAACGCAUAGAGAUUCCUAGGCUGUCAAGAUUUACAUAUCAUUGGAUCGAGAUGUAUUAUAUUGGCUUUUGGCACAAUUUCAUUCCAUCAA
Molecule: long non-coding RNA, 565 nt
Filed under: Phoenix dactylifera (date palm)
Lineage: Eukaryota; Viridiplantae; Streptophyta; Magnoliopsida; Arecales; Arecaceae
Description: long non-coding RNA (PDAC_LNC003013)
Source: RNAcentral